This 491-nucleotide ribosomal RNA is filed under the name uncultured bacterium. RNAcentral describes it as "bacterial SSU rRNA". It matches the Rfam family "Bacterial small subunit ribosomal RNA", at positions 28 to 515 of the family's 1533-position model. The record is from RNAcentral.
GAUGAACGCUAGCGGCAGGCUUAAUACAUGCAAGUCGAGGGGCAGCGGGAGUAGCAAUACUUGCCGGCGACCGGCGCACGGGUGCGUAACACGUAUGUAAUCUGCCCAUCACAGGAGAAUAGCCCGGAGAAAUUUCGGAUUAAUACUCCAUAAUAAAUUGAGUGGCAUCACUUGAUUUUGAAAGUUCCGACGGUGAUGGAUGAACAUGCGACUGAUUAGUUAGUUGGUGAGGUAACGGCUCACCAAGACCACGAUCAGUAGGGGUACUGAGAGGUUAAACCCCCACACUGGUACUGAGACACGGACCAGACUCCUACGGGAGGCAGCAGUAAGGAAUAUUGGACAAUGGCCGCAAGGCUGAUCCAGCCAUGCCGCGUGCAGGAAGAAGGCCCUAUGGGUCGUAAACUGCUUUUGAACAAGAGAAAACCCCUCUACGUGUAGAGGGCUGAUAGUAUUGUAGAAUAAGCAUCGGCUAACUUCGUGCCAGCACG